RNAcentral lists this ribosomal RNA (475 nucleotides) under uncultured organism. RNAcentral's name for it is "partial 16S ribosomal RNA". It matches the Rfam family "Bacterial small subunit ribosomal RNA", at positions 329 to 796 of the family's 1533-position model. The record is from RNAcentral.
ACGUACACUCCUACGGGAGGCAGCAGUGGGGAAUUUUGGACAAUGGGCGAAAGCCUGAUCCAGCCAUGCCGCGUGCAGGAUGAAGGCCUUCGGGUUGUAAACUGCUUUUGUACGGAACGAAACGGCCUUUUCUAAUAAAGAGGGCUAAUGACGGUACCGUAAGAAUAAGCACCGGCUAACUACGUGCCAGCAGCCGCGGUAAUACGUAGGGUGCAAGCGUUAAUCGGAAUUACUGGGCGUAAAGCGUGCGCAGGCGGUUAUGUAAGACAGUUGUGAAAUCCCCGGGCUCAACCUGGGAACUGCAUCUGUGACUGCAUAGCUAGAGUACGGUAGAGGGGGAUGGAAUUCCGCGUGUAGCAGUGAAAUGCGUAGAUAUGCGGAGGAACACCGAUGGCGAAGGCAAUCCCCUGGACCUGUACUGACGCUCAUGCACGAAAGCGUGGGGAGCAAACAGGAUUAGAAACCCUAGUAGUCC